Molecule: ribosomal RNA, 500 nt
Filed under: uncultured bacterium
Lineage: Bacteria
Description: partial 16S ribosomal RNA
Rfam family: Bacterial small subunit ribosomal RNA
Source: RNAcentral
AUUGAACGCUGGCGGCAUGCCUUACACAUGCAAGUCGAGCGGCAGCGCGGGGGCAACCCUGGCGGCGAGCGGCGGACGGGUGAGUAAUACAUCGGAACGUGUCCUUUCGUGGGGGAUAACCAGUCGAAAGACUGGCUAAUACCGCAUGAGAUCUCACGAUGAAAGCGGGGGACCGCAAGGCCUCGCGCGAUUGGAGCGGCCGAUGUCGGAUUAGCUAGUUGGCGGGGUAAAAGCCCACCAAGGCGACGAUCCGUAGCUGGUUUGAGAGAACGGCCAGCCACACUGGGACUGAGACACGGCCCAGACUCCUACGGGAGGCAGCAGUGGGGAAUUUUGGACAAUGGGGGCAACCCUGAUCCAGCCAUGCCGCGUGUGUGAAGAAGGCCUUCGGGUUGUAAAGCACUUUCGGCCGGAACGAAAUCGCGCGGAUUAAUAACCCGCGUGGAUGACGGUACCGGAAGAAGAAGCACCGGCUAACUACGUGCCAGCAGCCGCAGUAA